This 91-nucleotide transfer RNA is filed under the name Caudoviricetes sp. RNAcentral describes it as "tRNA-OTHER". It matches the Rfam family "tRNA". From Rfam's summary of the family: Transfer RNA (tRNA) molecules are approximately 80 nucleotides in length. Their secondary structure includes four short double-helical elements and three loops (D, anti-codon, and T loops). The record is from RNAcentral. Lineage: Duplodnaviria; Heunggongvirae; Uroviricota; Caudoviricetes.
UCGGGUGUAGCUCAGUCGGCAGAGCUUUACAGCGUGAAGGGAUAUUGCUGUUGAAUGCCCUUGGUCGUUGGUUCGAGUCCAACCACCCGGU